Long non-coding RNA from Papio anubis (olive baboon), 2788 nucleotides. The record is from Ensembl. NCBI's taxonomy places the organism in Eukaryota, Metazoa, Chordata, Mammalia, Primates, Cercopithecidae.
AUGAGGGGAAAUAGACCCACGCCAUCAGCCAAAAAGCCGACCAAAGUCCUCACCCUCAUGAAAACUCAGACUAGCCAAAGAGACAAAACUCAACGAGAUAAAAUUAGGCCGGGUGCGGUGGCUCACACCUCUAAUUCCAGCACUUUCGGAGGCUGAGGCAGGCAAAUCACUUGAGGUCAGGAGUUCGAGACCAGCCUGGCCAAUAUGGUGAAACCCCAUCUCUACUAAAAAUACAAAAAUUAACUGGGUGUGAUGGUGGGUGCCUCUAAUUCCAGCUACUCGGGAGGCUGAGGCAGGAGAAUCGCUUGAACCCAGGAGGCAGAGGUUGCAGUGAGUUGAGAUCGUGCCCCUGCACACCAGCCUGGGAGACAGAGUGAGACUCCAUUUCAAAAACAAGAAACAACAACAAUGACAAAAACAACAAAAAAAAGUACAAUUAAGCAGGAAAAUGAGCUAAAAAAUGGCAGGAAGGGAGUGGCCAUUUUAGAUGGGUGGGUAGGGAAGGCCAGCCUUUCACUGAAAUUUUGUAAUGUGGGAAGGUAAAAUAAGAUCCUAGAGGUUUUCAGAGAGAGAGAGAGAGAGAGAGAGAGAGAGAGAAAAACAAAACAAAAAAUGGACUGUGGAUUUUUCUAUAGUAAAAGUGGUUACUGGGAGAAAAUAGAACAGUGCCACUGAAAAGUGAAAAUCCUUCCUGAAUUAGUUUGCUUGGGCUGCAUAAUAACAUACCACAGACUCGAUGACUUAAACAAUAGACAUUUGUUUUCUCAAAGUUCUGAAGGCUGGAAGUCCAAGAUCAAGGGGCGCACUAGAUUAGUUUCUCCCCAGGCUUCUUUCCUUGACUUGCAAAGGUGACUUUCUCACUGUGUCUCCAUAUGGCCUUUUGUCUGUGAGUGGAGAGAGAGAGAGAGGGAGAUCUGGUGUCUCUUCCUCUUUUUUUUUUUUUGAGACAAGAUCUUGCCCUGUUGCCCAGGCUGGAGUGCAGUGACAUGAUCAUAGCUCACGGCAGCCUCCAACUCCUGAGCUCAAGUGAUGCUCCUGCCUCAGCCUCCUGAGCAGCUGUGACCACAGGGGUGUGCCACCAUGCCCAGCUAUUUUUUUUUUUCAUAGAGUUGGGGUCUUGCUAUGUUGCCCAGGCUGGUCUGGAACUUCUGGGCUCUAGCGAUCCUCCCGUCUCAGCCUCCCAAAGUGCUGGGAUUACAGCCAUGAGCCACCAUGCGUGGCCUCUUCCUCUUUUUUAUUUUUUUUUUGAGACGGAGUCUCACUCUGUUGCUCAGGCUGUAGUAUAGUGGUGUGAUCUCCGUUUGCUGCAACCUCUGCCUGCUGGGUUCAAGCGAUUCUCCUGCCUCAUCCUCCUGAGUAGCUGAGACUACAGGCAUGCACCACGAUGCUUGGCUGAUUUUUUGUAUUUUUAGUAGAGAUUGGGUUUCACCAUGCUGGCCAGGCUGGUUUUGAACUCCUGACCUUGUGAUCUGCCUGCCUCAGCCUCCCGAAGUGUUGGGAUUACAGGCAUGAGCCACUGUGCCCAGCCCGCUUCCUCUUUUUAUAAGGGCACCAGCCCUGUGAGAUUAGACUUCAUUCUUACAUAACCUCACUUAAUCUUAAUUACCUCCUUAAAGGCUCGAUCUCUAAAUAAAGUCACAUUGGGAGUUAGAGCUUCAACAUAUGGAUUUGGGGGAACACAAUUCAGUCCAUAACUCCCAACAGAAUUUUUUGUAGCAAGAUUUAUUUUGACAUACUUGGACUUUAAACAAAAUUUAAAAAAUUGAUACAUAACUGAAUUUAUAGGGCACUGGGUAGCGUUUCAAUAUAUGCAUACAAUGUAUAGUGCUCAAAUCAGGGUAAUUAGCAUGUCCGUCGCCUCAAAGAGUUAUCAUUUCUUGGUGUUGGGAACAUUCAAAAUCCACUCUUCAAGCUAUUUGAAAAUAUACAAUAAAUAGUGUUAUGGAAAAUAUACAAUAAGUAAUUUAAUUAUAGUCACCUGGCUGGGCAAUGUGGCUCAUGCCUGUAAUCCCAGCACUUUGGGAGGCUGAGGUGGGCGGAUUGCCUGAGCUCAGGAGUUUGAGACUAGCCUGGGCAACCCCAUCUCUACAAAAAAAUACAAACAAUUAGCUGGAUGUGGUGGCAUAUGCCUGUGGUCCUAGCUACUUGGGAGUCUGAGGUGGGAGGAUCGCUUGAGCCCAGGAGGUUGAGGCUGCAGUGAGCCAAGAUUGCACCACUGCUCUCCAGCCUGGGUGACAGAAUCAGACCCCGUCUCAAAACUAAACUAAACUAAACUAAACUAAACUAAACUAAACUAAACUAAAAUAAUUAUAGUCACCCAUAGGGCUGUAGAACACUUAUUCCUCCUAUUUCGCUGUACUUUCACAUCCAUUAACCAACCUUUGGCCAUCCCUCCUUCCUCCCACCCUUUCUAGCCUCUAGUAACCCCUGUUAUACUCUUUACUUUAUGAGAUCAAAUAUUUUAGCUUCCACACAGGAGUGAGACCAUGCAGUAUUUGUCUUUCUGUGCAUGGCUUAUUUCACUUAACACAACGUCCUCCAAGCUCAUCCACGGUGCCACAAAUGACAGAAUUUUGUUAUUUUUAAUUUCUAAAGAGUGUUUCGAUGGAAUUUAAUCCAUUCCCCAUUUAGAAAAAAAAAAAGUGCAAGUCACUCCAUGUAGCAUUAUUGGGGCAGACGGGAAAUGGGUUAAAGAUAUGUAAUAAUACGUGCAACUAUUUAUUGUUUUAUCUACUCCUGUUAUAUAUUUUGAAUCUGUGUCAAGCUUGCUUGCUUUAUUUAUUUAUUU